UAGGGAAUCUUCCGCAAUGGACGAAAGUCUGACGGAGCAACGCCGCGUGUGUGAUGAAGGAUUUCGGUUCGUAAAGCACUGUUGUUAAGGAAGAAUAGUAGUAAGAGUAACUGUUUACUACGUGACGGUACUUAACCAGAAAGCCACGGCUAACUACGUGCCAGCAGCCGCGGUAAUACGUAGGUGGCAAGCGUUAUCCGGAAUUAUUGGGCGUAAAGCGCGCGUAGGCGGCAAGAUUAGUCUGAUGUGAAAUCCCCCGGCUCAACCGGGGAGGGUCAUUGGAAACUGUCUUGCUUGAGUGCAGAAGAGGAGAGUGGAAUUCCAUGUGUAGCGGUGAAAUGCGCAGAGAUAUGGAGGAACACCAGUGGCGAAGGCGGCUCUCUGGUCUGCAACUGACGCUGAUGUGCGAAAGCGUGGGGAUCAAACA
Molecule: ribosomal RNA, 427 nt
Filed under: uncultured Jeotgalicoccus sp.
Lineage: Bacteria; Bacillati; Bacillota; Bacilli; Caryophanales; Staphylococcaceae
Description: bacterial SSU rRNA
Rfam family: Bacterial small subunit ribosomal RNA
Source: RNAcentral